Molecule: ribosomal RNA, 481 nt
Filed under: uncultured bacterium
Lineage: Bacteria
Description: SSU rRNA
Rfam family: Bacterial small subunit ribosomal RNA
Source: RNAcentral
AGGACGAACGCUGGCGGCGUGCUUAACACAUGCAAGUCGAGCGGUAAGGCCCUUUCGGGGGUACACGAGCGGCGAACGGGUGAGUAACACGUGGGUGACCUGCCCUUAGCUCUGGGAUAAGCCUGGGAAACUGGGUCUAAUACCGGAUAUGACCUCGCGAUGCAUGUCGUGGGGUGGAAAGCCUUGUGCGGCUAGGGAUGGGCCCGCGGCCUAUCAGCUUGUUGGUGGGGUGAUGGCCUACCAAGGCGACGACGGGUAGCCGGCCUGAGAGGGCGACCGGCCACACUGGGACUGAGACACGGCCCAGACUCCUACGGGAGGCAGCAGUGGGGAAUCUUGCGCAAUGGGCGAAAGCCUGACGCAGCGACGCCGCGUGAGGGAUGACGGCCUUCGGGUUGUAAACCUCUUUCAGCCCUGACGAGCGAAGUGACGGUAGGGCGAGAAGAAGCACCGGCCAACUACGUGCCAGCAGCCGCGGUAA